Molecule: long non-coding RNA, 1396 nt
Filed under: Monodelphis domestica (gray short-tailed opossum)
Lineage: Eukaryota; Metazoa; Chordata; Mammalia; Didelphimorphia; Didelphidae
Description: lncRNA (ENSMODG00000047824.1)
Source: RNAcentral
CUUGGCUUCCUUCAAGGCUCAGUUCAAGGGCUAUAUAUCUCUGGAACCUUCUCUGAUUCUACACCCCCUCUUUAGAUGGCAUAAUGCCCUUUCCAUUCUCAAAAUACCAUGGCUGAAUUAUUCCUCUUCUCCCUAUCCUCCUCCAAAAAACUAGGGGUUCUUUUCUCUUUCUUUCUUUCUUUCUUUCUUUCUUUUUUUCUUUUUUUUUCUUUCUUUCUUUCUUUCUUUCUUUCUUUCUUUCUUUCUUUCUUUCUUUCUUUCCCUCCCUUCCUUCUUUCUUUCUUUCUUUCUUUCUUUCUUUCUUUCUUUCUUUCUGUCUUUCUUUCUUUCUUUCUUUCUUUCUUUCAUUCUUUCUUUCUUUCUUUCUUUCUUUCUCUUUCUUCAGAUGUAACCUGAGUCCCAAAGCUCAUUGGGUAAUGGAACACUCUUCUCUUGAUUGAGAUCAAUGCCCCAGACCUGCGAGAGAGUCCAGGCAGAAGGAAAGAUUUGGGCUUCUUCUGGCCCUUCAUUUUCUUUGAUCUCUGCAAUAACUUUGGGCACUUCUGGCUGCCACCUUCAAGAGAGAAGAUGGGUGAUAUCAAUCCCACUUCAGACUUCUGAAAGGGGAAUAAGAUUCUGAGAGGAAACUGACUUGAGAGGAGCUAGCAGUUUUCUAUCAUGUCCCUCUUCUCAGCUUGCUCCACUAGAGACAUUGGGGAAUUUCCCCUUUGGCUGAGAUCUGGAACUCUCUCUGUCUCUUAGUUGAACUGUUUCUUGUUUCCAAUAUGAAGGAAGAACUCCUUCAUUAGACUGUAGGCUCCUAGGGAAACAACAAAUGUGGGGGAAAACAUUUUUAUAGUAAAUUUCUUUGAUAAAGGCCUCGUUGCUCAAAUAUAUAGAGGCGUGAGCCAAAUUUAUAAGAAACACACAUCAUUUCCCAAUUGACAAAUGGUCAAAAGAUAUGAACAAGCAGUUUUCAGAUGAAGAAAUCAGUUAUCAAUACUCAUAUGAAAAAUGUUCUAAAUCAUUAUUGAUAAGAAAAAUGCAAACUAAAACAAUUCUGAGGUACCACUUCACACCUAUCAGAUUGGACAUAUGACUGUAAAGGAAAAUGAUAAAUGUUGGAGGUGAUGUGAAAAAAUUGGGAUGCUAAUGCAUUGUUGUUAGAAUUGUGAAUUGAUCUAUCCAUUCUGGAUUAAGAACUAUACCCCAAGGGCUAUAAAACUGUGCCUAGUCUUUGAUCCCAUAAUACUACUUAGUAGUGUAUAGUAGUUUGUAUCCCAAAGAAUUAAAAAGAAAGAAGAGGGGGAGCGACCAACUUGGUAAAAAAUAUUCAUAUCAACUCCCACUGUUGUGGCAAAGAAUUGGAAAUUGAGGGGACGCCCAUCCAUUGGGCUGAACAAAUUGUGAACUACGA